ACGGUACCUGAGAAGAAAGACCCGGGCUAACUAUGUGCCAGCAGCCGCGGUAAUACGUAGGGGGCAAGCGUUGUCCGGAAUUAUAGGGCGUAAAGAGCGCGCAGGCGGCUCUUUAAGUCUGGUGUUUAAUACCGAGGCUCAACUUCUGGUCGCACUGGAAACUGGGGAGCUUGAGUGCAGAAGAGGAGAGUGGAGUUUCACGUGUAGCGGUGAAAUGCGUAGAGAUGUGGAGGAACACCAGUGGCGAAGGCGACUCUCUGGGCUGUAACUGACGCUGAGGCGCGAAAGCGUGGGGAGCGAACAGGAUUAGAUAUCCUGGUAGUGCACGCCGUAAACGAUGAAUGCUAGGUGUUAGGGGUUUCGAUACCCUUGGUGCCGAAGUUAACACAUUAAGCAUUCCGCCUGGGGAGUACGGUCGCACGACUGAAACUCAAAGGAAUUGACGGGGACCCGCACAAGCAGUGGAGUAUGUGGUUUAAUUCGAAGCAACGCGAAGAACCUUACCAGGUCUUGACAUCCCUCUGACCGCUGUAGAGAUAGAGCUUUCCUUCGGGACAGAGGAGACAGGUGGUGCAUGGUUGUCGUCAGCUCGUGUCGUGAGAUGUUGGGUUAAGUCCCGCAACGAGCGCAACCCUUAUGCUUAGUUGCCAGCAGGUCAAGCUGGGCACUCUAAGCAGACUGCCGGUGACAAACCGGAGGAAGGUGGGGAUGACGUCAAAUCAUCAUGCCCCUUAUGACCUGGGCUACACACGUACUACA
Molecule: ribosomal RNA, 759 nt
Filed under: Paenibacillus sp.
Lineage: Bacteria; Bacillati; Bacillota; Bacilli; Caryophanales; Paenibacillaceae
Description: bacterial SSU rRNA
Rfam family: Bacterial small subunit ribosomal RNA
Source: RNAcentral